Molecule: non-coding RNA, 93 nt
Filed under: Gordonia soli
Lineage: Bacteria; Bacillati; Actinomycetota; Actinomycetes; Mycobacteriales; Gordoniaceae
Also listed under: 1 other name
Description: Glycine sequence
Rfam family: Glycine riboswitch aptamer
About the family: This family represents the bacterial glycine riboswitch. Glycine riboswitches usually consist of two metabolite-binding aptamers domains with similar structures in tandem. The aptamers cooperatively bind glycine to regulate the expression of downstream genes.
Source: RNAcentral
CGCAGCAUCACGGGAGAGCGUCACGUCAGGUGGCCGCCGAAGGAGCAACACCUCCUCGUCAAACUCUCAGGCACCCAGGACCGCGAUACUGAC